Molecule: transfer RNA, 72 nt
Filed under: Vitiosangium sp. GDMCC 1.1324
Lineage: Bacteria; Pseudomonadati; Myxococcota; Myxococcia; Myxococcales; Archangiaceae
Also listed under: 2 other names
Description: Vitiosangium sp. (strain GDMCC 1.1324) tRNA
Rfam family: tRNA
About the family: Transfer RNA (tRNA) molecules are approximately 80 nucleotides in length. Their secondary structure includes four short double-helical elements and three loops (D, anti-codon, and T loops). Further hydrogen bonds mediate the characteristic L-shaped molecular structure. tRNAs have two regions of fundamental functional importance: the anti-codon, which is responsible for specific mRNA codon recognition, and the 3' end, to which the tRNAs corresponding amino acid is attached (by aminoacyl-tRNA synthetases). tRNAs cope with the degeneracy of the genetic code in two manners: having more than one tRNA (with a specific anti-codon) for a particular amino acid; and 'wobble' base-pairing, i.e. permitting non-standard base-pairing at the 3rd anti-codon position.
Source: Rfam by way of RNAcentral
UCCACAGUAGCUCAAUGGAAGAGCAGGCGGCUGUUAACCGCCAGGUUGGGGGUUCGAAUCCCUCCUGUGGAG